UAAUUACUUCUGUGGUAGAUUAUACUUAGCAUAUUUACUAAGGGAUAAAAGGAUAAAUUUAUUCCUUCUGAUAAGGUUAGUCAAAUGAGGGGCCUCAGGUGCCCUGUUCUUCAUCACAUCCCACUGCAUGCCCUACCUUGUAUGCAGGCAGCCCUGUGGGAUGUCUGCCAUCCUUUUCCACGGGAAAGGGCCACAGAGCUCUUCUUCUGCCAGGCACCAUAUGGAGAAUAUCUAGUGUCUCCUAACAGCUUCUUUCCACUGUGUUAGGAAGGAACUCCACUGAGACUAGACAUAUUUCUCCUGCCUCAGUUAUGCUCAUGGGACAGCACCUCUCCAUCUCCCAGUCUUGCCAUAGCUAUUAACAUGUGUAUCUGCAUCGUUCCUCCUGGGCCUCAUUAAUCCUACCCAGCACUGUUCAUGGACAAUAUCUCUCUGUCUGCUUGCCAUUGUGGGUGGAUGAAUGGAAGAAUGGAAGGGUGGAUGGGUAGCUGGAUGAAUGGCGAGAUGGUUGGAUGGGUGGAUGGAUGAAUGGAUGGAAGGAUGGUUGGAUGUAUGGAUGAUUGAAUGGGUGGAUAGAUGGAUGGAUGAAUGGAUGAAUGAUUGGAUGGACGGGUGGUUGGUUGGAUAGAUAAUGUAUAGCUGACAGCAACCAUCACCUGCACUCGUGGUGCCAGACUCCAAUCUGACCAUUGCUAUCUCUGCUUCUGGAGGAGACUGACUUGGUGCCCAGUGGCACCAACCUUUGCAGCAGUUCCAGCCAAAUCAUUUCCUGAGCGUCACAAUGCAGAAGUAAUGAAAUGGAAUGGAUCCAGCAGUUUCCCACAACCUGCCUUCAGACUGGCUGCACGGGAAGCACAGAGGGAACAUGCUGCCCUUGGUGCCAGCACCCAUCAUUCCCCCAUCACAGGAUCCUUCCUGGGGUGAGGAGCAGGCCCUACAAUGAGCUGACACGACCUGGAGCAGCCCUCCAGAUGUGUUGGGGACACUGGUGACCUGUGGCUGCCCAUCCCAUUGCAGCUGUACUGCUGGUGUCAGCCCUGCCCUCUGCUGCCACGGCCCUUGAAACCAGGAGAGUAGCAUCUACA
RNAcentral lists this long non-coding RNA (1085 nucleotides) under Phasianus colchicus (ring-necked pheasant). Its description in RNAcentral is "lncRNA (ENSPCLG00000005320.1)". The record is from RNAcentral. Lineage: Eukaryota; Metazoa; Chordata; Aves; Galliformes; Phasianidae.